AUGCAUGUCUAAGUUCACACUGUCUCACGGUGAAACCGCGAAUGGCUCAUUAAAUCAGUCGAGGUUCCUUAGAUGACACGAUCCUACUUGGAUAACUGUGGCAAUUCUAGAGCUAAUACAUGCUUAUUAAGCUCCGACCCUCGUGGAAAGAGCGCUUUUAUUAGUUCAAAACCAAUCGUAUGCUGGUCUCGGCCGGCUGCGUCCGCUUUGGUGACUCUGGAUAACUUUGUGCUGAUCGCAUGGCCUUGUGCCGGCGACACAUCUUUCAAAUGUCUGCCCUAUCAAAUGUCGAUGGUACGUGAUAUGCCUACCAUGUUUGUAACGGGUAACGGGGAAUCAGGGUUCGAUUCCGGAGAGGGAGCAUGAGAAACGGCUACCACA
This 381-nucleotide ribosomal RNA is filed under the name Clio pyramidata. RNAcentral describes it as "SSU rRNA". It matches the Rfam family "Eukaryotic small subunit ribosomal RNA", at positions 51 to 414 of the family's 1831-position model. Lineage: Eukaryota; Metazoa; Mollusca; Gastropoda; Pteropoda; Cliidae. The record is from RNAcentral.